CCCAACUAUCCCUAUUAAUCAUUACGGUGGUCCCAUAACCAACAAAAUAGAACCGUCCGUCCUAUUUCAUUAUUCCAUGCUAAUGUAUUCAAGCAAAUGCCCGCUUUAAACACUCUAAUUUUUUCAAGGUAACAGUCCUGGUUCCCUAACGCGCCCAGUGAAGAACACGCUAGCUCACCAGAAGAAGAGACCCGACGCGAAGACAGUACUCACCAGAAGGCGGACCGCCCGGUCAGGCCCAAAAUUCAACUACGAGCUUUUUAACUGCAACAACUUUAAUAUACGCUAUUGGAGCUGGAAUUACCGCGGCUGCUGGCACCAGACUUGCCCUCCAA
RNAcentral lists this unclassified non-coding RNA (335 nucleotides) under uncultured Ambisporaceae. RNAcentral describes it as "sequence contains 18S rRNA gene". The record is from RNAcentral. Lineage: Eukaryota; Fungi; Glomeromycota; Glomeromycetes; Archaeosporales; Ambisporaceae.